CGGGCACUUAUCAGCAUAUGGGGUCGGUUGUGUUGAUGCUACACUCUAUGCAUCCUUUUGCAUAGAUUACGGAGCCGAAGUAGCUUGUAGACCACAGUAGGAGCAUUGGGAGCUGAUUUCACUCAAGAGAUUCCUGAGGUAGUCUUGCUUACGUCUGCAUGGCCCGGAGUCUCUCCUAUCUUUACUUCUUUUUGAUUUCCAUUAUAUUGGAACAAACAAUAUUGUGUUUUUGUUCAGAUAUUGUAUUUAGCAUUUUGUAGAUGUUUGUGAGUUAGUGACACCAGAUCUAGGUAGAGUUGUAUUUGAACUUUCUCACUUGCCUUUAGUUAUUUAUGUUUUAAUACAUCCGGUUUUAUAUUAAUUGUCUCGUCUUCCGAUAUGAUGUUGAUGUUGUUAAGAGAAGUGCUAAUUUAAAAGGAUUUCCUAGCUCCUAUUAAUAGGCACCAUCACGACUCCCGAUAGUAGGAAAUCCGUGUCGUGAUAAGUUGGUAUCAGAGCACUAGGUUACAUAGGUCUCACAACUCAUAGACAAACUUAGUAGAGUUUCAGGAAUUCGGAGACAUCUGUAUAUAUCCCCAGAGGCUGAAGAGUUAGGAAAAUUUAACUUUUUUUCUUUCUUGUCAUGCGAUCCUAUUUCCCAAAUACUUAUUGUCUUUCUACUAUGUUCUUUCGCAGAUGGAGAGAACACGUGCUUCCUUCUACCGUGCAGCAUCCUGAGCCCCCAGCAGCAGCUCCUACUUGGGCAGAGGGCGAAAGCGAGGCCGUGCCAAAGGCCGAGGCAAG
RNAcentral lists this long non-coding RNA (783 nucleotides) under Nicotiana benthamiana. RNAcentral's name for it is "long non-coding RNA (NBEN_LNC023397)". The record is from RNAcentral. Lineage: Eukaryota; Viridiplantae; Streptophyta; Magnoliopsida; Solanales; Solanaceae.